UCCUCCCCUGGCCGGCCUCUGCCCCGCUGCUCUCCUGGAUGUCCCUGGCGCUCUCGCGGGGCCUCCUGCUCUUGCUGCAUCAGUCGGGCUGGUGCUGCGGCCGGCGGGUGUAGAGCGGGCGGGUCCCCGGGGGCUGCGGCUGCCCGUGCUUCCCCGGUCCCCACCCCGACCCCCCGGCCCCCCGACCCAGCUCCCCGGCCUCUGAGGCUGUGACAAUGGACUAUGACUUUAAAGUGAAGCUGAGCAGCGAGCGGGAGCGGGUCGAGGACCUGUUUGAAUACGAGGGCUGCAAAGUUGGCCGAGGCACUUAUGGUCACGUCUACAAAGCCAAGAGGAAAGAUGGGAAGGAUGAUAAAGACUAUGCUCUGAAACAAAUAGAAGGAACUGGGAUCUCUAUGUCGGCAUGUAGAGAAAUAGCAUUACUUCGAGAGCUUAAACAUCCAAAUGUCAUCUCUCUUCAAAAAGUGUUUCUGUCUCAUGCUGAUCGGAAAGUUUGGCUUCUAUUUGAUUAUGCUGAACAUGAUCUCUGGCAUAUAAUCAAGUUUCACAGAGCUUCUAAAGCAAACAAGAAGCCAGUUCAGUUACCUCGGGGAAUGGUGAAGUCACUAUUGUAUCAGAUCCUAGAUGGAAUUCACUACCUGCAUGCUAACUGGGUGUUGCACAGGGAUUUGAAACCUGCUAAUAUUUUAGUUAUGGGUGAAGGUCCUGAGCGAGGAAGAGUAAAAAUUGCUGAUAUGGGCUUUGCCCGAUUAUUUAAUUCACCUCUGAAGCCUUUAGCAGAUUUGGAUCCAGUGGUUGUAACAUUCUGGUACCGAGCCCCAGAACUACUUCUUGGAGCAAGACAUUAUACCAAAGCUAUUGAUAUUUGGGCUAUAGGGUGUAUAUUUGCAGAACUACUAACGUCAGAACCAAUAUUUCACUGUCGGCAAGAGGACAUCAAAACUAGUAAUCCUUAUCACCAUGACCAGCUGGACAGAAUAUUCAAUGUAAUGGGAUUUCCUGCAGAUAAAGAUUGGGAAGAUAUAAAAAAGAUGCCCGAACAUUCAACAUUAAUGAAAGAUUUCAGAAGAAAUACGUACACCAACUGCAGUCUUAUCAAGUAUAUGGAAAAACACAAAGUAAAACCAGAUAGUAAAGCAUUCCACUUGCUUCAGAAGUUGCUUACCAUGGACCCAAUAAAGCGAAUUACCUCAGAACAGGCUAUGCAGGAUCCCUAUUUCUUAGAAGACCCACUUCCUACAUCAGAUGUUUUUGCCGGUUGUCAAAUCCCUUACCCAAAACGAGAAUUUUUAACAGAAGAAGAACCUGAUGACAAAGGAGACAAAAAGAACCAGCAGCAGCAGCAGGGCAAUAACCACACUAAUGGAACUGGCCACCCAGGGAACCAAGACAGCAGUCACACACAGGGACCCCCGUUGAAAAAAGUGAGAGUUGUUCCUCCUACCACUACCUCAGGUGGACUAAUCAUGACCUCAGACUAUCAGGGCUACAAAUUGGAAAUAAAGUGAUAAAACUUGGAAGCAAUUCAAUAAAACAUCCCUAGGAAGCAUGAAAGUCUUAGAUUAUGCAGUUGCAAAACAGCUGCUCUUGUUGGCAAAUGACACCACUGGUUCUGAGGGAAAUUGGAGCUCACUGCCUUUGAAACUGCUGCAAUGGGGAGGCUCCCGAGAGUUUAUGAAAGUCUCCCACUCUACAUGGAAACAGAGGUAACAUUUAUUUCUUGGUGGUGCAUUCCAAGCAUACUCGCUAUUCGAAAGCCCUCUUACACUCAUUUCUGAGCUCAUUUAUUUAUUUAAGAGCUGCACAAUCCCAGCUUUGUCCCUGUGGUGGAAAGAGAUUCUACCACAUUCAGACAGCAAUGACUGGUUUAGAAAUGGUUUGUCUUGGUCCAAGCCAAAUGUCUCUUCUGCAGCUUUCAUUAUGUCUAAAUGAUGCUCUUAUCCUUAAACAGAACACACUUUCUCAGUCCCCCAGGAAGCACUUGAUUUAUUCUCCAGCCCCAGGGACAGGAGGAAGCGGAGGCUAAAGGGUAAUCACACAGCCAGGUGAGCCUCCAUUGAGCUGUAGCCUGGGAGAAAAUGGUUUUAAAUGCUGAAAGGGUUUGGUGUGAUGCCAACCUAUUCUCUAAGGAACUUGCUCAGCCUGCCCUGGAAAUUGGAUAGACAGGAAAGAAAGGAUUCAGAAUACUUCCAAAGGGGAACACCUGAGGCAGCUGUCAUCAUCCUGGCCACAGAAGAUGGUCACCAGGAACAAUGCCUGUAGUGACCUGGAAAAGAGAGACCUAGGAGAGUGUGAGUGUUCACAGCCCUGGCUCUUGGGGUUGUAGAGCCUGGGGCUUUGGCAUCCACUAAGGAUUGGUUACCCCAUUUACUGUCUAUAUUUGUUCCUAUCUGCAUAAGGAACAAGUAUAGACAAUAAGUGGGGUAACAGUACCAGGUGUUUGAAGGAAGACAGAUGUCUAGGUUAAGUUACCACUAGAAGAGUUGAUCUUGGCAUUCUGGGUUCUGAGUUUCCUCCCCUGCCAUCAAGGAUGUGAAGCUGAGUGGAAUAAGGGACACAAUCCCUGAGUUGAGGAUCUCAAAAGGCAAUUCCAGGCACAGCUGUGAAAUAAGAGUCUAAAGGACUGCUCUUAAAACUUCAUUCAUUCACUGAGACCUACUGUGCACCAAACAGGGUGUCAGGUUCCUGGGAUGCAGUGAGAAUAAGCAUGCACAUUUAUUGGGUAUGUAGGGGGACAGGCUGUGUUGCAAGUCUAAUAAUAAUUAAGUAUUCUGUCUUGGUCUGUGUUGUGUUGCCAUUAAAAAUACCUGUGGCUGGGUACUUAAAAAGAAAGGAGGUUUAUUGGGUUCACAGUUCUGGAGGUCUAAGAGAAUGGCACCAAUGUCCUGGUGAGGGUCACUUGGCUAUAUUACAACGUGGCAGAAAAGGCAAACAGUCACUUGUAGAAGGGCAUGUGUAUGAGCAAGGGAGCAAGAGACCAGGGAGGGACAGGCUCAGUCUUUUCAUAAAAACCUGUUCUCACGGGAACUAAUCCAUUUCUACCUAACCUGACUCACUCUUAUGAGACAACAUUAAUCCAUUUGUGAGGGUAGAGUCAAAUGACCUAAUAACCUCCCAUUAACCUCUUAAAGGUCCCACCUCACACUACCACACUGGGGACCAUGCUUCCAGCACAUGAACAUUUGGGGGACUCCCAUCUGAACUAUAGCCAAUGCUAAAUUCACUUCUUAUUGUAAGACAUGCUGUUGUAAUUUCUCCCCUAAAAUGAAAAUUUUUAUAAUUCAAAGAUAGCCCUUUCUAUAAUACGUCAAAGUAAAUAGUAGCAAUUCAAGAAACAUGCCCAGGCUCAGAGUAACUGGAUUCAGCUUGUGAGAUUCCUUGAAAGAGUUCUACACAAGGCCAGGGCCAACCCCAUCCCCUGAAGAGUGCCUGGCCAGCUGGAAAUACCUGCAGCUCCCUCAGCUCCAGCUUCACUUCCCAAUUUGCUCCACUUUAAUCUCUACCUUUUAUGUAAUGUCUAGUUGAGACCACAGGGUCACCUUAGCCUCUGUGGAUGAAACAGAGUAGGGUUCCUGGGGGAAUUAGAAAUUUCUUGUGACAAUGAUCUGGAAAAAGGCAGUCCCAAGCAAAGAUGGACAGCAGACACUGCAUGUUAGGCUGGAUCCUGCUCUCUGAGGUCUACUCCUUAAAGCAAGUGCACUAGAGCCAGGGGUAGAGUGGCUACCCCAUGCAUGAAGAACUUCCAUUUCAGACUUUUCAACAUUAUUUUAAAAUAAUAUCAUACAUUCAAUCCCAGAGAAAAUUAACAAGAGGGAAAGAUGUCCAUUGCUUAAACUUAAAGUUGUGUCCCACUCCCACAUCACACACCCAUGGUGCUUUAGGAAUUAAUAUACUUUUAUAAAUGUCAUAAUUAUUCUGUGACAGGCACAAUUAUAUUAUAUCAUAUUCUGUGCAGGCAUGAUAGAUAAGUCAAUUUGUUAAACUGUGAACAUUCAAAAUAUAUCAAUAUUUUUGAAACUGCUUUUUGGCAUUCCUUUAUUUUUUUAAUACAUUGGAUAAUUAAAGAAAAAGAAUUACAGCCAUCACAUUUUUUCACCUCAGAGAGUGCCUACCUGGCCUGACUGUCUGGGCCUCCAGGUAGAGGGGGGCAUACUUCUCAAAACAUACUGCCCAGGCCACUGCAUCCCUACCACCUGGAGGUCACUCAAAAUGUAGAAUCUCUAUCCCACCUCAGAAUCUGACUCUGACUUUUAACAAGAGCCUCUAGCAAUUUCUAAGCACCUUGAGAGUUUGAGAUGUAUCAUUGUCGAGAAUAUAAGGAAGAGAUAAGCCAUCUGUUAGUUAGGCAUAAUAACAGCAUCCUAUUCUCUGUCUCUAUUUGGCCCUGUUUGGCACCAUCUUUAACACAGUUGUACUUAAGUGCUGUGUUUGCUUUGUUUGUUUGUUUUUGCUGUGUUUGGAAGUAAAGAGUGAGAACUCUAAGCAGUACACAAAGACUCCCUGAAGAAUAAUUCAUGCAGAAUCAUGCUCUAGGAUUCCCUAACUCCACUUGAAGGCCAACCAAGCUUCACUCUCUGAGUAUGUCCUUGAAGUAAAAAGAGGCAGAUAUGGGAGAAGCUGCUGUAAAACUGAUGGGCCAUUUCCAUGAGAGCAGUUUGUUUUCAAUCCAAGCCUAUUUCUAUGCUGAAAUUGUCACCAAGGAGUAGGUGAGACUAGAAUUGAUUCCAUUCAUUCACCAGUUUGUUAUUGAGCACCUGGUACAAGGUCUGGCAAACUAUACCUGAGGACCAAACCCAAUCCACUGCUUGAUUUUAUAUAGCUCUUCAGAUUUGAUAUAUGAAUUUUUGCAAUCAUUUUUUUUAGGGAACAUGAAAUUUUAACCCCAAUUAAUCAUAAUGGUAUUCUCCCUGCACAAAAAGAAAUAUACUGAAUUUAAAAAUUGUACUUAGUGGGCUGGGGAUAUAGCUCAGUUGGUAGAGUGCUUGCCUUGCAUGCACAAAGCCCUGGGUUUGAACCCCAGCACCACACACACACAAAAAAAAUUGUACUCAGAGCUUCUGGGUGUAGAAAUCCAAAAUGGCACGGUAAGAGAAGUCAACCUUCAUUCUUCUAUCAGCCAAAAUAAUCCAGAGAGGUUUUAGGGGCCCAUUAAAGAAUCUGCAGUAAUACAACAGAACACAAAAUGGAGAAUAGCUGUAUAAAAGGGUUACUAAUUAAAUUAGCAGAGACACUAGGAGACAGCUAGGAAAAAAUAAUGGUGGAGGCUAUUGGUAUCAACCACAUGGUAAGAACCACUGUCGCUCCCAGUGGCCUCUUUUGUGGAGUACACUCACAUCUCUUGCCCCUGAGGUCACCAUACUAUUCAAAAAGGGAAAUGUAGCUCCAUAGCCUUUCUCUUCCCAAGAAAUGGUCAUUGUUGAACUGCUUUGGGGAAGGAAUCACUCCUCACAAUUUCCAACCUGGAAGUGUGUCCAACCCACAAAUGCCUGCACCCAGAUUUUAUGGCUACACUGGGUCUGCUCACAGUUUGGACACAGGAGUCAUCAUAUAGGAAGGUGGUUUACACUUUGGGCCUGGAGAAAGCUCUCACUAUGCAUUAUCAUGCUCCAGGCUCUAGCUCAGCUGCCAUAAAGAGCUAGACCCCCACCCUGAUACUAGAGGCAUUUGCUAUACCCACUGAUGAACUCCCCAAGAUUUAACAAGAUAAGGGACAGAAAUACUGUAAAAUAAGGAGAUUUCAGAUUUCAGAUGUAGCUGAGUGGUAGACAGCUUACCUAGCUUGUGUGAGGCCCUGGGUUCAUUAAAAAAAAAAUUAGAGAACUUUAAUGACCCACUUUCAACAAUAAACAGUUCAUCAAGACAAAAAAAAAAAUCAAUAAGAAGCUUUAGACAUGAACUGCCUUUUGGACAAAAUGGACCUUACAAAUAAAUCCAGAAUCCAUCCAAUAAUAGCAACCGUGUAAAGUACACAUUCUCUCGAAUAGUUCAUAUGUUAGGCCACAAAAUAAGUCUUAACAAACUUAAGAAGAUUAAAUCAUAUCAAGUAUCUUUUCAAGCCACAAUAGUAUAACAAUAAUUUUGGAAAAUUCACAAAUAUGUGGAAGUUAAACAACAUGCUCACAAGCAUUUCUUCAAAGAAGAAAUUAAAGGGAAAUUAAAAGUAUUUCAACACAAAUAAAAAAUGAAAACACAGCAUAUCAAAACUUAUGGGACACAGGAAAAGCAAUUUUAAGAGGAAAAUUUAUAGCAAUAAAUGCCUACAUUAAAAAAGAUUCUAAAUAACCUAAUAUCACACCUUAAAGAACUAGAAAAAUAAGGAGCAAAAAAGCCUAAAGUAGGUAGAAGAAAGAAAAUAAUGAAGAUGAGAGCAGAAAUACAUGAAAUAUAGUCCAGAAAAACAAUAGAAAAUAUCAGUGGAAACAAGAGUAGGUUUUUUGGAAAGAUAAACAAAAUCAACACAUCUUUAGCUACACUAAGAAGAAAGAGAAGACUCAAAAUAAAAAGUAAAAAAAGAUACUUUACAAUCAAUACCACAUGAUACAAAAAAGUCCUAAGAGACUACUAUGAUUUAUACACUAACAAAUUGGAUAAACUAGAAGAGAGAAAUUCCUAGAUACAACCUGCCAAGACAAAAUAAUGAAGAAAUAGAAAAUCUGAACAGACCAAUAAUGAGCAUGCAGAUUGAAAUAGUUAUAAAAAAGUCACCCAUCAAAGAAAAGCCCAGGGCCUGAUGACUUCAUUGCUGAAUUCUAAUAGAUACUUAAGAGAAAAAACCAAUCCUCCUCAAACUUUUCCAAAGAAGUCAAAUAAAGGGGAAAAUGACAAAAAUCAUUUUGUAAAGCAAACUAGACAAGGAUACCAAAAGAAAAGGAAAUUGCAGGCUGAUAUCCCUGAUUCACAUAGUUGCAACAAUCCUCAAUGAAAUACUGGCAAACCAAAUUCAACAGCCUAUUAAAAAGUUCAUUUACCAUGAUUAGGUGGAAUUUAUCAUUGGCAUGCAAGUAUGGUUUAACAUAUGCAAAUCAAUAUAUGUGAUACACCACAGUAAGAGAAUGAAAGUCAAAAACUAUCUGAUUAUAUCAACAGAUGAUGAAAAGAUAUUCAACAAAAUUCAAUGUCUUAUGAUUAAAAAGAAAACCUCUCAACAAUUUAGAUAUAAAGGAAAUGUAGCUCAGCCCAUAAAGGCCAUAUAUGACAAGCCCAGAGCUAAGAUCAUAUUCAACUGUGAAAAUUUGAAUGUUUUCCCUCUAAGAUCAGGGACAUGACAAGGAUGUCCAGUCUCACCACUUCUUUUCACCAUAGCACUAGGAAUCCUAGCCUGACAAAUUAGGCAAGAGAAAAAAAUUAAAGAUAUCUAAAUUUAAAAUGAAGCUGAAUUAUCUCUGAUCUUAUAUUUAGAAAUUACUGAAGACUCCAUAAAAGCAAAACAAAACAAAAAAACAACUGUUUGAAUUAGUAAAUGAAUUAAGUUGGAGGGCACAAAAUCAACUUGCAAAAAUCAGUAGCAUUUCUAUGAAAUUAGGAGCCAUGUACAGAGGCAUACACCUGUAAUCCCAGCUAUUCAGGAGACUGAAGCAGGAGGAUUGCAAGUUCAAGAUUAGCCAUGGAAACAACAAGACCUUGUCUCUCAAAAUAGAAAACUAAUUUUAAAAAGGUCUGGGGAUAUAACUCAGUGGUAGAGUGCCCCUAGGUUCAAUCUUCAGUUCUCCACACCAAUUGUACUAAUUUAUGACUAGCAUAUUUUUAAUUAUGAAAAUGUGUUUUCUAAGUGAAAUUUACAGAGACAGUAAGUAGAAUGGUAGUUGCUAUAACAGUUAUGGUUUAAUGGAAAAGUCUGUGGGGUGUUGAAAGGUUCUAGAUAGUGGUGUUGAGGAUCAUAAAGUAAGGUGAAUAUACUUGAUGCCCCUGAACAAUACACUUAAAAUGCCUACAAUUGUAGGUUUCAUGUGCAUACACAACCAUAAUAAUAACAACAAAAAAGCAUUAUGGACAUUAAAUCAGUGGCACGGAUCAGAAGUAGAGGUAAGGCUCAGGAACGGGCACCAUUCACACUGUUAGUACAUUCGUAAACUUAUAUACCCUCUUUCAAAGACAGAGCCUCAGAUAGAGGUUCUAGAGAGUGAUCUCUCAGCAUUUUAAGAAAAUAUCACAGCACAUGUUCAGGAAAAUGGCAAAUGAUCUGGGGCCAAAGUGAUGGAAGAGCCACACUGUUCUGGGGAAAUCAAUGAGGGGCCGCAGAAGCCAUGGCCCAGAGCAGUCAGGUAUGAGCAACUUCAAGGAGGUACAUUCUUCCAUGCUGGGAGAGAAUAUAUCAAGCUGGUGUGGUUGGGGUGGUGCCUUGUUCCAUAUGCACUAAUGGGCCCUUUGCCACAUGGCAUAAGACGUGGAGGCCAGCUUGCACAGGCCCAUGGAAGUAACACAUGGGAUGGACAGUGCGGGCCUGAGCGCUACAGUUUAGAACUUGAAUGCCCCUUAAAAGCACAUGUGUUAAAGGUUUGGUCCCUAGAGUAGCACUACUGCAGAAUGGUGGAAGCUUUAGGUGGUGGGGUCUAGGGGGAGACCCUUAGGUCAUCUGAGGUGUGCCUCAAAGGGGAUUGUGGGACCCCAGUCUCUUUCUCUUUCUCUUUGCCCCUUGGCUUGUGAUGUAAGUAGUUAUGCUCCCACUAUGAUGGGCUGCCUUACCAUCAGCCCAAAAUAAAGCACGAAUUAUGGACUAGAACCUAUUAAACUGUGAGCCAAAAUCAAUCUUUCUUCUUUAUAUGGCAAUUAUCUCAGGUGUUUUGUUAUAGUGAUGGAAAGCUAACACACUGAGGAGGGUGAACUGUUGGCACAUAUCAAGGCAUGAAGACUGUAUACCAUACCCUCAAUCCAUUCUUUGUCUUAAAAUAAACUUUAAGCUACUCCACUUCUUUGACACCAAUCAUUCUGCCCCACCACACCUUGAAGGACAGCAGCCCAUUAGCUACAGGACCAACAUGCUGGAUUGACAUUGUUUAUAUGCUUGCCUAUCUCCCUUACAGACUGAGUCUGUUGCAGUAGUCAAGGCUGCUUUUUCCUGAGAUGGAGGGACAAAAGCAUACGAGGAUGCUGUAGAAGGUGCAAACCCAGUGUUCAGAGGAUAUCAUUUCUUUCUUCUAUGACAUUCAAACCCUGAGGCUCUUAGCCAGUCAUUUCCAAGGGCAAGCUCCAAAGACAUCAUGAUGAUGGCCAAGAGCUAGGACUGGCCCAUCUCAGGGCUCAGCUCAGCAGACCUGGUACUACCAGGGGCAAAGGGGCUCCUUGGAGCUGGGUGCGCAGUAACUUAGCUGCUGCAUUACUUGGUAGCAACACAAAUUAGUUAGAGUAGGCUUCUCUCAGCUGCUGCCAGAGUCCAACAGGAAACCCAGCAUAGGAGAGACCCAGGAAGAGCCUCCUAAAAAUCCCCAGAAGAGAACCCAGGUGAAUAUUUACCUUAGAAGCUGGCUCUAGUGCUCCUCUCAGAGCUGAGAAAGAGUCAUAUUUGACUUCAGAAAUGGUUGGGGGGAACUGAACCAAAGACAAGUGCCAGUAAGCCAGUAAGUGGCUGAGCAAUGGGCCAGGGAGGUGACCCUGAUCAGGGAAGAGGCAAAAACCAGAGAAGAGCUACAAUACUCAAGUUUCUAGUUGCAUUGAGGGAAUCAAAUUUCUUCUCUGGGUUCCUAAGGACUCAGAUGUGGGGUGUGUGUAUGUGUGUUUGUGUGAGGUGGGGGGGGGGGAGAAAGAGAAAGAAAGAAUAUGAAUAUGAAUGAGAAUAUGGGAGAAGUUUCAUUUCUCUGCAUGGAUGCAAGAACCCAGAGGCCAGAGGCUGAGGGCACAUCAUCUCCCUGCCCUCCCCAUAAUUACCAGAAAUUGUAGGUUUAACCCAGAUGCCUCUUAGAAAGUUCAGGAAGCAAGGUGGUUGGCCCCGGCAUUGGUGGGUUUAAACACCAAGCCAGAUUAUUCAGUGUAAAGAAGAGCUGAGGGGGGCUGGGGAUGUGGCUCAAGUGGUAGCGUGCUUGCCUGGCAUGCGUGCGACCCGGGUUCCAUCCUCAGCACCACAUACAAACAAAGAUGUUGUAUCUGCCGAUAACUAAAAAAAAAAAUAAAUAUUAAAAAAUUCUCUCUCUCUCUCUUAAAAAAAAAAAAAAAGAGCUGAGGGCCACUAAUGAAAGAAGGAAGGCCAAACCUUUGGUGAGGCCCCCACAUGGGGGUAGGUGGGUGGAGUACAGAGGAGCUCAGGGAAGCAGAGAGCCCAUGGCUUCUCUCUGGAAGCAGAGAGCCCAUGGCUCCACAUGGGAGGGCUGGUUUGGGGCCAAGAAAGGCCAGAGCUCUGACCCUUGCCCUUAGUCCCCAUACACAGUAAUAGUGACCAAUAUGUUCCGAACAUGUGCUCUGUACUGGGCGCUGCUGGAUGCAGCACUGGUGCCAUCCCGCUGAAUCAUCUAAAGCGAUUGCUUUUGAAGAUCAGGAUCCCUGAGCGUGGUCUGGAAACCCCGCACAGCGCCUAGGAUGCCCAGUAAACUGCAGAGGCUGAGGUCACAGUCCUGGUGCUGUCCCAGCCCUCCACAACCUGUCUCAGGGUGGGUGCUCCGAACAGAAAAAGGCCUGCAGGCUUCUGGGGUGGGAGACUAAGGUGGGGCUCUGCAGGGAUUGAGGCAUAAGGCGCGCAGGGAUCCAGCCCAGUCCAGAUGCGGUAUCUGACCACCCUCAGCAUUUUGCAGAUCACUCAAGCUGGGAUCAAUUCUGUUUUUCUGGUCAUUUUGUAAAGCUUGGGUCUAGUAUCUGUUUUUUUUGUGGCUUUUUCUUUUCAGUUGCUAUUUUAAAUUUUCAUCAUAUCUUUUGGAAGUAAGAAAAAUCCUUGGUUUCAUACGUCUGGAGAUCUAGUAUUGUUUCCUGCUAAUUCUGCAGGUAGGCGUGGAUUUUCCACAAACAAAAGUCACAGAUGUUCACCCAGUUAGGAAUUGCCAUGGAUUCCAGUAUCAGCCCUCUCCAGACCCUGCAGGUCCCAAACACUUAAUAAAACAAAACAGGCCAGAGAUCAAGUAUCAGAGUGAAAGAGGAAAGCAAAGUGAACUGGAGGAAUCAUUCCUAGUCUCCACCCCAAUGAUUUAGGUUUUCAGGUGAGCCCAGGAUCUGUCUUUUUAAUUUGGGGGGAUGCUUCUGCUGCAGCAAGACUUGGGAGGCUGUGGCCUGAAUGACCCAUAAACUGGAAAAUUGGCUCCUGUAUCCCAGGUGGCUUUACUUUAAAGAAUAAAGUAAGCAGAUGGUUAGGCCCACAGAAAGGUGGAAAGAACCCUUCCAAGGACCCAGCAGCCCUGAGUUUCAUACCCUCACUGCACAGUGUUAACCAGUCAUUAAUCCCUAUGACCUCAGUUUUCUUAUCUCUGACAUAAGAAAAUUGAACAACCUAAUCUCUUAUUGUUUCCUAUUAUGAAUUUAUCUGAUUCUGUGAGACCUGAAUUUCUUAUUCUUCAGUGAGGGUAAUGAUAUUUUGAAAGGGCUUGGGAUCAGUCCCCAGAGAAAAGAGUUGUGAAAUUUUUAGCAUCUCCUCCUGAUUUCAUGAAUUUGACAAGACCUUUCAUCUAGUUCUCUCAUCUUUCUUCCCCUCUGCUAUUCAAGGGAUCUCUGACCUAGAGGCAGUUCCCUCUCUGCUCAGCUCUCAGAAAUCUCUCCUCUGACUGUUCUUACUGACUGUCCCUAGAAACUUGGAAUCAUAGGUUUCAAACCUGGCAGGGUAUUAGGGUCACUUGGGAAACUUUUAUAAAAUCCUGGUGCCCCAAACAAUUGAAUCAAAUUCUUGUUGGGGGAGGAGGCUUAGGCAUCUGUGGAUUAUUGUUGUUAUUGUUAGUUAGUUAGUUAUUUGUUUGACUCUAGACAGGAACUGGCUAAGUUGCCUGGCUGGUCUUGUACUUGUGAUCUGCCUGCCUCAGCCUCCCAGAGAGCUGGGAUUAGGGCAGGGAAUGGUGGUUGGCACAAGAAACUUGGAGCUACUGAGCAGGGAAAUCUCAGAGCUGGGUUUCCAGGUUCCUCUUCACCCAAGUAAAGGCAGCAAGUCUGAAGGAUUGAGUUUUCUGCAUUCACAGGUCUUUUUUGCUGUGGCCUACUGCCAACGGUUUAGAUACAUCAGAUCAAUUUUUUACAGGACCAAGCAUCAAAAUUACUGAAGUGAAAGGAAAAGCCAAGCCAAGUGGCACCACCAUAUACUUACUAGUUGACCUAAGUGAAGUCUUAUUAGACUUCUGAUUUGCAACGUGAGGCUGGCAUUUCUCUUCUACCAUAUAGUGUGGUUAGGUGGAUCUAAUGAGAUAACAUAUGUGAAUUUGUUCUGUAAAAUAUAAAAUUCUAUGCAAAUUGAAUGGACUUAAGUACUUUAUAUGUAAAAAGAAUUUCCAUAUUUAAAAAAUGAUAUCAAUUAUUUACAAAUUAAUCUAUAGAUUAAAAGUAACACCAAACCCAAUUAAAAUCCCAGAAGCUUUUUUAUAGAAAUUAACAAGAUGAUUCUAUAAUUUACAUGAAGACUCAAAGGACCUAGAAUAGCAGAAUAGUUCUAAAAAGGCUGUAAAAACUUGAAAUAUAUUUCCUGAUUGCAAAGCAAGAGUGCUCAAGAUAGUGUGGUAUCAGUGCAAAGAUAAGAUAUGGUUCAGUAAAAUAGAAUAGUAGAUCUAAAAAUCAGUUCAUAUACAUAUGACCAAUCGAUUUUUGACAAAGUUGCUAAGGCAAUUCAAUGGCAAAAGAAUUUUUUCAACAAAUGGAACAAAGACAUAAAUAAAAGAGCUGUAACUAUAGAACUACUAGAAGAAAACAGAACAAUCUUAGGGUAAGACCUUGGGUUAAGAAAUAACUUAUUAAGUGGCAUACAAAGUGCAAAAAGUAAUAAAUUAGAUUUUACCAAAAUUAAAAACUUCUGUUCUUCCCAAAUAGUGCUAAAAUAUCAAAAUGUAAGCCAUGGACUGUGAGAAAGUAUUUACAAAACACAUAUCUGACAAAGGAAUUUUAUUUGUAUUAUAUAAUGAAUGCUUACAAUUCAAUAUAAAAACUCAACUUUUAAAAACUGAGCAAAAGACUAAAAAUAUACUUUACCAACAAAGAAAUAUGUACAGCAAAUGCAUACGUGAAAAGAUGUUCACCAUCGUUAGUCACAUACCAUUGCACAUCUACUGGAAUAGCUAAGAUUAAAGUGACUGACAAGUAAUGGAAUCUGAAUUUCCUGUGCGUUGAUGGUCAGAAUGAAAAAUGCUAUGGUCAACUGGAAAAAGUUGGGCUCAUUUCUUAGAAAAUUCGAUGGGCACUUCCCAUAUGCCCCAGGAAUUCCACUUCUACCACAUGUCCAUAAUGAUUUACUUGCAAACUUUCUUAGUUCUGUUCAUAACAGCCCCAAACUAGACACAAAUUCUAAUCAAGUAGUGAAAAGAUAAAUAAUGGAAUAUGAUUUAGAAAAAGGAAUGAACUGGAGGUUUAUGCUUCAGUGUGGAUGAAUUGCCAAAUUGUUAUACUAAUAUAGUGAAAAGCCAGACACCAAGGCUCUCUACUAUUUGAUUUCAUGUAUAUGAAAUUCCACAAAAGGCAAACUGCACUGAUAGAAAGUAAAUCAGAAGUUACAAAGGGUUAGGGGGCAGGGUAAGAAGAGGGAAUUAAACGCAGAGGGUCCUAAGGGAACUUUUUUUUUUUUAAAGAGAGAGAGAGAGAGAAUUUUUAAUUUUUUUUUUUUUCGUUUUUGGCGAACAUAACAUCUUUGUUUGUAUGUGGUGCUGAGGAUCGAACCCGGGUUGCACGCAUGCCAGGUAAGCUCGCUACCGCUUGAGCCACAUCCCCAGCCCAGGGAACUUUUUUUGAUGAUGGAAAUAUUCUAUAUCAUAACUAUGGUGAUGGUAUACAGUUAUAUACACUUGUUAAAACUGAGUUUUUUUUUUAUCAAACAUGAUGAGUUUUAUUUUAUGACAUUAUUUCAAAACAGCUGACAGAAGAUAUUGACAAUUUCUGCCUGCAAGACACUGUGAUGGGAAUAGCAAGAGGAAUCAGUCCUGGCUUCUGUCCACAGUGAUCACAAUAAAAACAUACCAAAACAAUGGCAAUCAAGCAUUGAAAGUGCUACAACAGAGAUCUGGGCUCAGGAUAGAGAGGUUAAUUCUAACCAGUGGUGGGAGAGCCAAGUAGAUGGUCCUUGAGCCAAAUCUUGAAAGAUAGGUAAUGAUUUGCCAGGUAAUUAAGGUGAGAGAAGCAAUUCUAGGCAACAAAAGAAAACCUUCCAUGCUGGAAAUAAUCCAUUAGAUUCCAGGAAACACAAGUGGUAGGUUGAAACCCAGUAUACCUGGAAGAAUAUAUCUGAAGAUAAAAGUGUGCAUGGUGGUACACGUAGGCACAUGUGUUGUGGAGGGUUGCAUAAUGCAUGCCCAGGUGUACAGCCCGCAGUGCAGGCAGCUAAACUAGAGGUUGCUUGAGUGAAUUUCCUAAGGUAUCAAAUAAAACACAGACACACAAUUUACCUUUAAAUUCAAGCCCUGGGACAGCUCCUCUGCCCUCGGCCUCAAGCUCCUCAAAUGGGAGAGCAGGGAAUAUCACAGAGGCUGGCGAGAGAGCGCUAGGUUGUUUUGGAGUGGUCUUUUAUUGUGGGGACUCUGGUUCUUAAAAAUUUCCAUCCAUAAAAGGUCAAGAGGGGCAGGGUUAUAAGGACAGGUAAGGUAAUAACUCGAUCCCUGGGGAUGUAGGAAGGCACGCCCAUGCAUGAAGACACAUUUGGCUGCAUUUUUACUACUCUCAAGAUGGGGGCUACCAUCUACAGCCACUUAAAAGUAGCCACAUCAUUGGGGAUGACUGAUAGUGCCUCAAACCCAUCAGGAGAGGAAAACGCUGGUUACAUGACUUGGUGGCUCCCACACAGGUGCUCACAAUUUAUCCCACAAAGAAAAUCUACUGAAUAGUUUUAAGCUAUAACAAACAUACCCAGCUUUGUGCCUCGUACAUAUUACUCUGAAAGCAGAGAGAAAGACAGAUUGGAGGGUGGUGGCAGCUAGUUUGAAAGCCAAGAGACCAACUAAAAGAAGACUGCACUCAUUCAGGUAAGCCAUGAUUUUGUUCUUGAGUAGAGGGAUGUAGAAGGAUGUAGAGGGGAGGUUUAUGAGAGCUAUUAAGGUAGCAGAACUGGGCAGCAUCCUUGAGGAUGCUGCAAGGGAGAAUGAUGAAGAGUCAAAGAUGACUGCAUGGAUUCUGGUUUGGGUGACUGGAUGGCUGAUGGUCUUCUUUUUUUAAGAAUUAAUUAUAAUAGUGUUGUUAAUGUUAAUAUUCUUUUUUAAUUCUUAUUUUUAGGUGUAGAUGAACACAACACAAUGCCUUUAUUUUUAUGUGGUGCUGAGGAUCGAACCUGGGUCCCGCCCGUGCUAGGCGAGUGCUCUAUCACUGAGCCACAAUCCCUGCCUUGGUGGUCUUCUUAAUCAAGCUUGGGAAUGCAAAGGAAGAAUGAGUUUGGGAGAGAAUGAUAGCUUCAGUCAGAGAAAUGUUGAGUUUUAUGUGAUGGAAUAUUCUAGUAAAAUGUUUAAAAGGAAAUUGAAUACUCACCAGUAAGAUUCAGAAGAGAGUAGAUGUAUGGUUCACAGUAAUCCACUUCCUGGUAGCAUCAAAGCCAAGUGAUGAAUGAGAUUUCCCAGGGCAUUUACACAAGGUGGCAGGGAAGGCACAUAUUUAUGAAAGGGAUAGGCAGCAGUACGAGGUCUUGAAAGAAGCUGAGAAAAGGUGUUAAACAAUGUGGAAUUGAAGCAGGAGAGUGUAGUGUAGUGUAGUUAUCAGAGAAGACAAGGAACAAGAAAGAUUUUAGAGAAAGAUAUAAUCAACACUGUCAAAUGCCACAUCAAAGUAAAACAUGAUGAAAUAAGAAAGAAUCCACUGAAAUUGCAAAAUGUGAGAUGGCUGUUGUUAUGUGCCAAAGUAGUUGCUAUGGUAGCAGAGAUUGAUUACAGAGGGCCAAGGAAUGAGUGAGAUGGAGGGAAAUGGAGAAAAUGGGCAGGUAGUUUGGCAGUAAAGUGGAAGAGAAAGAGAGGUAGUGAAUAGGGAGGAAGAAUAUAAAAUCAAAGUAUUUGUUUUUGAAAACUGAUGAGACUACAUGUUUUAUAGGCUAUUGAGAAAAGCCAAUAAAAUAAAAAUUGUUGAAACUGUACACAAGUGGCCCAAUGUAUGAAAGCCCUAGUCAUGGAGAUGACAGAAAAGGUAGAAUUAAGAAGAGGACGCCUUUUCCUUUGGGAAUGGAGGAAGGAAAUAGGGGAAAGUACAUAUCUAGGUGAUUCUGAAGGUAUGAGAACAGAAAACUGAGAGAGUUCAUGACUGAAGACUAAAUGUCUUAAUGGGUUUGAGAAAAGAAGGGAGAGUAGGAAGAGCCAUUGCAAGGUAUUGGAAAGGGAGCUAAUUAAUCUGUGAUUGACAAAGGUAUUGAGGGUUGGACUUCACAUAUUUGCAGUGUCAUGUGUCUAGAAUGCAUGUGUGAUUUCUCUGCAUUAGGAUUGAGUUGCAUAAGUGUGGCAGCCAGGAGAACAGGUCACUGGAUUCAUCUGAGAUUUGGAUGUAAUAGGAGAAUGUGGUAGAAAUGCAAGUUGGUGAGGACCCUUUCAAAUUUAUUAACAGAGCAGAGAAAGUGAGGAACCACAAGCACAAGCCAGAUGGAGAAAAAACAGAACCAAGGUGGUAGUAUUAAUGGGAUAAAAACAGAGCUCAGAGGUUGAGGGGGCCCCUCCAUGAGUUUGAUGCGAAAAUUCAUUGAAUAGCAGGAUGAUAGAAGGUUAUGGUCAAGAGUAGGGUACUCAAGGAUGAUAGGACUUCAAAGAGAAGACAGAUCUGGGUGACACCAAGAUCCAAACUCUGGUGAUGUGAAUGGGAGACCUAAAUGAAGAGGAGGGAAUGUCAAGGUGCCUGUACCAAAAUGUUACUUGCAUCUUUUCAUGAGUGUUAAAGCCCCCAGGAUGAUGUGGGUAGUAAGCAAGUCUUCAGGGAAUGGGGAAGAGAAAGGGUGGACAAGACAGAUGUCACCCAUAUGGUAUGUAUGGUGAGCAUGGCCUGGACUUCAAAGAAGUUUGUACAUAACAGGAGAAGAGUAACGGGCUGAAAGGAGCAGCAAGGAGAGAGGAUGCUGCUGGCAGCUGAGGUUUCUGUGAUAUUUGGAAGGGUAUCACAGAACCCUAAGGAAGUGGGUGCUCAUUGUUUCUGCUUAAUUAAGUGUGGGGGAUCUUAGAUCCACAUGAAUCUUGGUGAGAAGUUUUGCUAAUACCCUGGAGAAGGAAAAACAGGAGACUAUUCAGGGACAGAGCCUGGAAAAGAUUCCUUCCCAGGAGGUUUCAGCGUCAUUUCCUAGGACGUUUACCACCUGAUAGAAUUAGCAGUGGCUGAUGGUUACUUGAAGGAGAAAGAUUUUAUUUUCAGACUUUCUUCAAAGGUCAAAGAUUGUGCCCAAAGCUUUCUUGAUAGGUAUUUGUUUAACAGAAUUGAACUAAAGAGUUGAGCACAUCUGUUACAUGGGUAACAGAACUUCAGAGCAGGAGGGAGCUAUGGUGUAGGGGGCCACUACUUGCAUGCAGUUUCGUGAUCUCCAUUCUCCAGCCCCAGCUCACUGCCCUGGGGUCGGGGCAGGUGGCCUUCAACAAUCCCUGUCUAUUGUACUUCCCCAGUCUUGUCUGGCUCUUCCAUUCCUCCCUGCACAUGUGUUCAUCUCUUCUUGGAAGGAAUCAUCCCCACUGCUGUCUGGAUAACUCCUACUUAUUUUUCAAGUCUCAGGCAUAGCCAAACUUGUCUCCUUGUGAAGCUCUUUCUGGCUCUCCUGGGCAUACUGAGGGGACCCUUCUGCUGCAUUCCUAUGCUCUCUCGUACUUUCCUUAAAGUAAUGAUCUUACCAUAGUAGAAUUGCCUUCCUUUCUCUUCACUGGACUACAAACACUUUGAAGUUAAGGGCAGGACCAGGACUUUUCACAUUAUAUAGGUAGCUCCUAAAACAGUAGUGGGAACAACUACUAGUUGAAUGAAUGAAUGAGCAAAUAAGAGAAUGAGUAGUGGAGAGACACUUUGAACUCAAACAGCCUGGGACUCAUUUUUAUUAUAUGAUGUAGUGUUUUAUGAGUUAGUAGAAAUUUUCAAGUCAUUACCUGCAAAAACACCAUAACUUUAAAAAUGUUGAUAAGCUGGCCAUAAUUGGCAGGAUACAUGGUAUCCAUCAUGUUACUUCUAUGAUCCCCAGAGUCUGGUGAUGGGGAGAGAGUAACUAGAAGGAGAAAUUGCAGGCUCUUCCUUGACAUAAUGGGCUCAUUUCUCACCUUCCUUCCCUGGAUGCCCUAGUGUUCCUCCACCUCUGUUAAACUUUUCUUCUGACACAUUCUGUGAAUGGUCUCUCAGAUUCUAACCUUCCCAUUAUUUCCAUCUCUACUACUCAAAUUUGAAUUUGAAUUGUGUCCAAAUUUUCCAGUUGGCUUUCCAGACUCAUGUCUCCUGCUACACUAUAUAGCUAAUGACAGCCUUCCUCUCCUCAAGAACUUGCCAUGGAUCCCUAGUGCCUUUUGCUUCAAAUCUAAACAAUUUAUCUCUGAGUUCAAGGCUUUCUAGCAAUGAGUUUCCCAUUAGCUACUGAGUCUUCCCUCACUGCUCACUGUCUUUUGCUGGAUUGUUCUAUUUCCUGUCUGACUUCUGUCCUUGCUAAUCCUCCUAAUUAGAAUAUUUUUUUCCAUUCCUCUUGAGCAGUUGACAUCUGACCCUUCUAAGUUUAGCUUGAGACUAGUCCUCCCCAUUCAACCAUUGACUGUUCCCCCUGUCUGUCAUGAUAUUUGUUUUUCCUCUUUGCUUCCUCUCCAUACUUUUGAAUACAGUUUGGACUUAAUUUCUAGCACUUCAUUAUAGCUUUCCACAGCAUUUUUCCAGAACUAUUUUAUUUCUUCAGUUCAGCUUGAAGCUCCUGCAGUACCAGGAAUAAAUAGCCUGACUCUGGGGUGUGAUUCCCCAAACACCUGGGUACUGCUGGACUUUGUUCCAGGAGAGACUUUAUGUAUAUCUUACUAGUUUAAAGACUGACCACGGCCCCCAAAGAUACCAGGCCUUAACCCUAUAAUGUUACCAUAUAAAUGUUACCAUAGUUAAAAAAAGGAUCCUUGUAGAUAUGAUAAAGUUGAGGCUCUUGAGUUGGAGAGACUAGCCUGGAUUGUAUGGGCCCCAAAUGCCAUUAUAUGCAUCCUCAUAGGAGAGAGAGGGAGAUUUAAUACAAAGAGGAGAAGACCAUAGGACCACAGAGGCAGACGCUGGAGGGAUGGAGCCACAAGCCAAGGCAUGCCAGCUGCAUUCCACCUAACACAUGAUUCUUAGUUUUAGUCUCAGAGAGAACUCAGCCCUGCCACCUUCUUGAUUUCAGGCCAGAAAAACUGAUUUCACACUCCGGCCUGCAGAAUCCUCAGAAAAAAAGAUCUGUGUUGGUUAAAGUCACCAAGUGCUUUGCUCCAGAAGCUGAGGAAACUAAAACAAUUGUUGUAUCUGUAUUUAUUGAUUAAAUUAAAAAUUGUGGGUUGAUUUUGGACUCCCUUAAAGAGGUUUUGGAAGAGAUCCUCUUUCAUCUGGAUUUCUCCAAGGCAUUUGCAGUAGUGCCUCCAUUUACCUCAGGGCUGCUGUGAGGACCCAAGGAGCUUUCUCGACACAUAAUCAUGGGAACAGAAGACUACAUUUGCUGCUUGGCUUAAUCCUCAUAACAAUUUGGGGGGUAAGUACUAUUAGUUACCCUUCCUCACACACAAACAAGGAAAUCAAGGCUCAGAGAGAAAGAAGUGCUUGUCCAGGGUUAUACAGAACUCCUUUAUGGAAUGGGACUUUGAAAGCUUGUUUGUGGACUGGGGAUGUAGCUCAGUGGCAGAGCUCUUGCCUAGCACAUUUGAGGCACUGGGUUUGAUCCUUAGCACCACAUAAAAAUAAACAAAUAAAAUAAAGGUAUGCUGUCUAUCUACAACUACAAUUUUUUUUAAAAAAAAGAUCUCUCUUUUGUCAUGUGUCUCUAGAUUCAUCUUUUUUUUUUUUUAAAAUCUCAGGGUCAUUUUCAUUGUCUCAGUCAGUGAUCAAAUGAGUAGGGUUUGCAGCCAGAUAAAUCCUAGGCUCAAAAUCCAGUUCUGCCACUUGAUAGCCACUGUCCUUAGAAAGUUCUGAACUUCUUUAAAAAGAAAAACUUGAUAUUGAACUUGGUAAAAACUUCUUUAUCAAGUUCAAUAUCUAAAAUAUUGGAUCAGUGAUGGUAAUGGUAUAAAUAAUUGUGUGGUUCUAUAAAUGAUAAGAUCAUAUAUAGAGAGUUAUUUGCACAGUGCCUGGCACAUUGUAACAUAUUAUCAUAUCUUUUUUGGGGGGGUUAUCAGGAAUUGAACUCAGGGGUGCUUGAUCACUGAGCCAUAUCCCCAGCCCUAUUUUGUAUUUUAUUUAGAGACAGAGUCUCACUGAGUUGUUUAGCACCUUGCCUUUGCUGAGGCUAGCUUUGAACUCACAACCCUCCUGCCUCAGCCUCCCGAGCUGCUGGGAUCCCAGGCAUGUGCCCCAUGCCUGGCCAUCUCAGCAUAUCUUAGCCAUGACUUUUUUUUUCUUUUUUCUUUUUUUUUUUCUAAGAGAGAGAUAGAGAAUUUUAAUAUUUAUUUUUUAGUUUUCAGAGGACACGACUUCUUUGUUUGUAUGUGGUGCUGAGGAUCCAACCCGGGCCGCACUCAUGCCAGGCGAGCGCGCUACUGCUUGAGCCACAUCCCCAGCCCCUUAGCCAUGACUUUUAUUGCUGUUUUUUUAAAAAAUAAAUUUAGAAAUUAUCCUAAAUUCUCAAUAUAUUCAAAUCAUGGGAACUGAAUACCAAAUUAUUAGUCUACAAAUAAAUUAUUAGUCUACAAUAAGGUUGCCAAUGAGCUGGGGUUGUGGCUCAGCGGUAGAGCACUCACCUAGCACGUGUGAGGCCCUGGGUUUGAUCCUCAGCACCACAUGUAAAUAAAAUAAACAUAAUGUGUUUUUACAACUAAAAAAUAAAUACUAAAAAAAUAAGGCUGCCAAUCAGGCCAGAUACCAUGUUAUCCUUCCUUUCUCCUCCCUGUGGAUAGGGACAGGGAUUAACAGAAAUUCUUACGCUCCACCCCACAUUUUAAAAAAUAUAUUCUGAUAUGGGUAUUACUCCUUUUUUUUUUCAAUGUCAUUUUACCUUCUUUUCACAGUAUGUCACAUUUCCAAGUUACUUUACAUUGAGCUAUGGCUCCUUAAUUUAAAAUUUCAAUAAAAAAAGAUUAACUCUUCUCUGACCUUUGAGUCCAAGAUCCUGGACACUGAAUUACUUUGGGAACUCUAAUCUCUCUUUCUGUCCAUGGAUGACAGUAUUUGUCCUCAAAGGAAAGAAAAAUAAGUUUUUAUUUGAGAAUCAGAUGAUGUAUCAUAGAGUUGCAAAGAAUUCCCUGCUAGAAAACUCAGUAACAGAAGGCCAAGUGCAUUAGUUAGAGAUGCUAUUGAUGCAAAGGGAAUGGAACCAAGUGUCCUCAGCUGCCCUUAGAUUAUCCUUCCUGAGAUAUUCAUCUGGGAGUAGGUCUUACAUUCCUGACAUUUGCAAAAGGAGCCUGCGGGACUUUUGCCUUAAAUGUAGGACCAGCUGGUAGCUCUCUCCUACAGUCAUCCCUGAAAUAUUGUGAAAUUCCUUUGUUUCCAGGAGCCUAUGAAGGGGACCUCAGAGAUAUGAGUGGGUAAUUACAGAACACUCUUAAAUCAAACUCAUUUCAGGCCCCAGAAUUGGCCAAACAUAUUUGUUUUUGCCCUUCUUUCUCAGCCUUCCUUAUACUUUCUUUUUGUGUGCACAUUUGUUAGUUUACAUAGAAGACUCUAAAACUGAUAAUGAAGUUUAAAUACCUUUGGGGAAAACUGGAUAUUUGUUGUAACUGCUUUUAAGAUUAAAUUAAAAUCCUGAAAGGCAAGAAGUGUAUCAUAGUAAUAUCAAGAAAGAGCAAAUCUCAAACAUGUUAUUUUAGAAAAGAAACUUCACAUAUGAUUUUAGGUUUAUAGCCUCCCUCAAACAAAACUUCAUAUCUUAGCCUCUUAUUCUGAAGAUUAUGAUUAUGUUGCUUUAGGUUGUUCACUUUAUCCUAUGUAAGAAAAUACAGUGUGUAACAUUUGAGUAUCGUAUUUGUUCAAACUCAAUGUGCCCUCUUGUCCAGUUCUUCUUAUUAUUUGUGGUAGUCAGCUUUCUGUCACUGUAACAAAAUACCUGAGAUAAUCAAAUGAAAAAGAGGAAAGGUUGUAUUGUCUCACAGUUUUGAGACCAGUUGGUCCUGUUGCUUUGGGCCUGUGGUGGCACACAGCAUUAUAAUUGCAAGCAUGUAGUUUCAGAGCAAGCUGCUCACCUUGUGGCAUCUGGGAAGCAAAAAGAGAGAGGAAGGGGCCAAAGUCCUACUGUUCCCUUCAAGGACAUACCCACAGUGACCUAAAACCUUCUGUUAUCACCUCUUACAGGUUCUACCACCUGCCAAUAAAACCAAAUUGGAGAUGAAGCUUUUAACACAUAGGCCUUGGAGUCCAAAUCUAUACUAUAGUAUUGUGGAUGACUAAAAUAUAUUCUUUAUUAAUAGGAUUUGGCUGUUUUACAACUCUUGGAUUUCUACUAUAAGCUUUAUUGACAAUGAAGAAACUUCUAAGGCAUUAAGUAUAACUCAAAGAAAUACCAUACCAUAAUGAAGGUUAGGCUGUUUAGCCACAUUUGAAACUAUUUUUCCCUCCUCUUAGAAGAAAACAUAGGGGAAAGGCUUCUAGACCUUAGACUGAAUAACAUCAAACAGAAGCAAAAAUAGACAAGUGGGAUUACAUCAAGCUUAAAAGUUUCUGCAUAGCAAAAGAAAUCUUUAGCAAAAUUAAAAAGCAACCUGUGGAAUGAGAGAAGAUAUUUCUUGAUGAUAUAUCUGAAAAAAAAAGUCAUCCACAAAUUAUGUAAGUAACUUCUAUAAUUCAAUGGCAAAACAAUCUGAUUUAGGCAAAGGACCUGCCUGAAUAGACAUUUCUCCUGAAAAAAACAUUAAUAUUUGGCAGGUAAAUGGAAAGGUGCUCGAUCCUACUGAUAAUCAGGGAAAUGCAAAUCAAAACCACAGUGAGAUAUCACCUUGAGUAUAUUAGGAUGGCUAUUAAUCAGUUUUUUUAAAUGACAAGUGUUCAUGAGGAUGUUAAAAAAAGGAACAUUUGAAUACUGUCGGUGGGAAUAUAAAUUGGUGCAGCCAAUUUAUGCAUGAAUCAACAUGAAUUUUCCUCAAAAAAAAAGAACUACCAUUUGGUUUAGCAAUCCUAUUUCUGGGUAUAUAUCCAGAGAAAAUAAAAUCAGUAUGUGAAAGAGA
This is an RNA transcript of Marmota monax (woodchuck), 23321 nucleotides long. It is a transcript of the gene named cyclin dependent kinase 8, with no coding region annotated. NCBI's taxonomy places the organism in Eukaryota, Metazoa, Chordata, Mammalia, Rodentia, Sciuridae. The record is from RefSeq and is a predicted model, not a curated record. The transcript has 15 exons.